Molecule: ribosomal RNA, 468 nt
Filed under: uncultured bacterium
Lineage: Bacteria
Description: partial 16S ribosomal RNA
Rfam family: Bacterial small subunit ribosomal RNA
Source: RNAcentral
GAUGAACGCUGGCGGCGUGCCUAAUACAUGCAAGUCGAACGGAAAGGCCCUGCUCUUGCGGGGCGCUCGAGUGGCGAACGCGUGAGUAACACGCGUGUAAACCGCCCCUGUAUUUGGGAUAACUCCACGAAACAGGGGCUAAAAUCGGAUAGGAGAUCUUGCUGCACGGGGGGGGUUGGAAAGAUUCGGUGGUUGGGGAUGGUCUCGCGGCUUAUCCGCUUGUUGGUGGGGUAGUGGCUUACCAAGGUUUCGACGGAUAGCCGGCCUGGGAGGGUGGCCGGCCACAAUGGGACUAAGAUACGGCCCAGACUCCUACGGGACGCAGCAGUGGAAAAUAUUACGCAGUGGGCGGAAGCCUGUUGCGGAGACGCCGCGUGCGGGAUGACGGCCUUCGGGUUAUAAACCGCUUUCGCCUGUGACGUAGCGUGAGUGACGGUAAUGGAUAAGGAAGCACCGGCUAACUACGUG